RNAcentral lists this ribosomal RNA (1017 nucleotides) under uncultured organism. RNAcentral describes it as "bacterial SSU rRNA". It matches the Rfam family "Bacterial small subunit ribosomal RNA", at positions 356 to 1376 of the family's 1533-position model. The record is from RNAcentral.
GAGGAAUAUUGGUCAAUGGACGAGAGUCUGAACCAGCCAAGUAGCGUGAAGGAUGACUGCCCUAUGGGUUGUAAACUUCUUUUAUACGGGAAUAAAGUGAGGUACGUGUGCCUUUUUGUAUGUACCGUAUGAAUAAGGAUCGGCUAACUCCGUGCCAGCAGCCGCGGUAAUACGGAGGAUCCGAGCGUUAUCCGGAUUUAUUGGGUUUAAAGGGAGCGUAGGCGGACGCUUAAGUCAGUUGUGAAAGUUUGCGGCUCAACCGUAAAAUUGCAGUUGAUACUGGGUGUCUUGAGUACAGUAGAGGCAGGCGGAAUUCGUGGUGUAGCGGUGAAAUGCUUAGAUAUCACGAAGAACUCCGAUUGCGAAGGCAGCCUGCUGGACUGUAACUGACGCUGAUGCUCGAAAGUGUGGGUAUCAAACAGGAUUAGAUACCCUGGUAGUCCACACAGUAAACGAUGAAUACUCGCUGUUUGCGAUAUACAGUAAGCGGCCAAGCGAAAGCGUUAAGUAUUCCACCUGGGGAGUACGCCGGCAACGGUGAAACUCAAAGGAAUUGACGGGGGCCCGCACAAGCGGAGGAACAUGUGGUUUAAUUCGAUGAUACGCGAGGAACCUUACCCGGGCUUGAAUUGCAACUGAAUGAUGUGGAGACAUGUCAGCCGCAAGGCAGUUGUGAAGGUGCUGCAUGGUUGUCGUCAGCUCGUGCCGUGAGGUGUCGGCUUAAGUGCCAUAACGAGCGCAACCCUUAUCGAUAGUUACCAUCAGGUUAUGCUGGGGACUCUGUCGAGACUGCCGUCGUAAGAUGUGAGGAAGGUGGGGAUGACGUCAAAUCAGCACGGCCCUUACGUCCGGGGCUACACACGUGUUACAAUGGGGGGUACAGAAGGCAGCUACACGGCGACGUGAUGCUAAUCCCGAAAGCCUCUCUCAGUUCGGAUUGGAGUCUGCAACCCGACUCCAUGAAGCUGGAUUCGCUAGUAAUCGCGCAUCAGCCACGGCGCGGUGAAUACGUUCCCG